AUGGGUAACCUACCCCGGGGAUGGGCAUAGCCGUUCUAACGGACGGGUAAUUCCCAGCGCCCCGGCGCGGCCGCAUGGCGGCGCCGGGAAAGGAGUUUCGCCCCGGGAGGGGCCCAUGUGGCAUUAGCUCGUUGGCGGGGUAACGGCCCACCAAGGCUGCGAUGCCUAGCGGGUGUGAGAGCACGACCCGCGCCACUGGCACUGCGACACUGGCCAGACACCUACGGGUGGCUGCAGUCGAGAAUCUUCGGCAAUGGGCGCAAGCCUGACCGAGCGACGCCGCGUGCGCGACGAAGGCCUUCGGGUUGUAAAGCGCUGUCGGGGGGGAGGAAAGCCCGAAAGGGCCUGACCUAUCCCCGGAGGAAGCACGGGCUAAGUUCGUGCCAGCAGCCGCGGUAAGACGAACCGUGCGAACGUUGUUCGGAAUCACUGGGCUUAAAGGGCGCGUAGGCGGGCGGUCAAGUCCGGGGUGAAAUCCCCCAGCUCAACUGGGGAACCGCCCCGGAUACUGGCCGCCUC
RNAcentral lists this ribosomal RNA (519 nucleotides) under uncultured Planctomycetota bacterium. Its description in RNAcentral is "bacterial SSU rRNA". It matches the Rfam family "Bacterial small subunit ribosomal RNA", at positions 117 to 643 of the family's 1533-position model. The record is from RNAcentral. Lineage: Bacteria; Pseudomonadati; Planctomycetota.